CUCCCUCGUGACUGCCUCAUCCCUACGUAUGCUUUGUUUAUACUGAGGGAUGAGGAAAAUGGCGUUGUGGUCGGAUUUUCCAAAAGCUGGAUGUGAAACCGCUUUGUAGCCCUGCCUGUAUGGCGUGUAGCAAUGAUCCAGAAAAAGUAGAGCAAAAGGAAAGAGUAACAAAGGGACAGAGUAACAAAGGGACAGCUUCUGCAUCUUACUGUUGGCAUCUUACACAAUGAAUACAAAAGCACUGGAAAGCAAUGGAAGAUCUGUUUGGAGGAUGGCUGUUGCAUAAAGCAGCAGGUUUGUAAGACCUUGAUUAUUUUCGUGUGUGCUUUUGUAUUCAUUGUGUCACACCCGACUCUCCAGUGUUAAUUUAUUUUGGUUAUAUGCUAGUGACUAUGUCACUAUAAUUACUAGUUGUAAACAUUUGAGAUGGCAGAUUAACAAAUAUUUUUUUUUAUUAAAAAAAUGCUAAUUAUUUUCUCAAUAAAGGUGGUAGCAGUCGACGAAAGCUGGCUGUAAUUCCACCAGAAGCAGAAGGGUAUUCUGUGAAAGCUCUGAAACCUGUGUCAGUAGGUGGCAAAGGCACUAAUUACAUAGUGCCCCUUCAGGAGACAUUGGACACAUCUCCUCUGCCCCCUGACUCACAGCACUUUUCUAAGAUGCCAAAGAAGAUUUUUUUUUUACCAGCGUAGUGAAGAGAUGCCUCUGCAGAUGCUUGCAGUACACAUCAAAACCUGCAAAGGAAAGUAUUUUGAUGAAACUGAUGAGGUGAGAGCAUUUUUUUUGUUUAGUUUUAUGGACUAACAAAACCUACAUUAAUUAUUAAAAUGACUGUUUUUUUAAUCUGCAGGAGUUAUGCAUUGUGGAGAGCAAGUGUAAGGUGGUUUGUCCAAUUUGCAGUAUGGAAUUUCCGGAAGAUGAGAUCACAGUCCAUGCUGGUUUGUGUGGAGAGAGCUUGGAAUGUACAGUGCCUGCAGCAAGUGACAACAGUCAUUGUACACCUGUUCGAACUCCAGUAUGUAAACCAAAAAGGUACAUUUUUUUCAUGUGCUUUCCAUGAUUUCAAAUACAGGACCACUUGUGAAAAUUAUGUGCACCAUCACUUGUGUGAUGUUGCACAGCACAUGCUGCAAUUAUUUCUAAUGACAUUUUAUUUGGUAGUCCUUUUUUGUUAAAUAGGUCCGAAAAGCAUCAAUAUUUAUGAUCUGUCUCUGUUUUUGUGAAUUUAUGACCAAAAAAGUUUUCUAUCCUGUUCCUUAAGCAUGGAAGAUGUAUUGCACUUCCUUAAAGAGCAAGUAGACACCACAACAGAAUUCAAAUUAUGUGUGGACAGAGAAGACCUUCUAGACAGGGCCAUUAUUCAGUGGCAGAGGAAAAAAGCUGCAUCUCCCACUAGUGCUCUCAAGGUGGGGUAUAUAGGCGAGGCAGGUGUGGACACAGGGGCAAUUAGGAAAGAGUUUUUGAGUGGUAAGUUGUCCAUUACCUGUUUUGUCCUGGUGUAAAUGGAUCAUCUAAAACUGGAUAUUGCUUUUGUGCCUAAGACAUGAUUUCAGGUAUCGAAAAGAGAUUUUUUGAAGGACAUGGGAUCCAGGGUAAAAAUCCCAAGUACUCUUUGACGGACCUGGAUAAUGAAAACUUCAGAACUAUCGGUGAAAUAAUUGCGGUCAGCCUUGCCCAAGGUGGCCCAGCUCCUGCGUUUUUGAAAGAGUGGUGCUACACUUUCCUCUGCAGAGGAGAGAUGGACAUAAAUUGUCUGUCUAAGGAGGAUGUGGCUGAUCUUGAAUCUUCCCUACUCAUCAGCAGAAAAAUCCCCUUUCGACCGUUGCCUGACCAUGAGACAAAAGGAGGACUUUUUUGCAGAAGCUCCACAGCUCAUUGUAAGAUCCACAGAUGACACCAUGUAAAAAUUCGUCAAGCCGUUGGUUCAUGGGACAGAAAGAG
This is a non-coding RNA of Paramormyrops kingsleyae, 1938 nucleotides long. NCBI's taxonomy places the organism in Eukaryota, Metazoa, Chordata, Actinopteri, Osteoglossiformes, Mormyridae. The record is from RefSeq and is a predicted model, not a curated record.